Molecule: ribosomal RNA, 327 nt
Filed under: uncultured eukaryote
Lineage: Eukaryota
Description: partial 18S ribosomal RNA
Rfam family: Eukaryotic small subunit ribosomal RNA
Source: RNAcentral
CCCUUAGAUGUUCUGGGCCGCACGCGCGCUACACUGAUGCACUCAACGAGUCUCCACCUUGACCGAGAGGUCCGGGAAACCUUCGAACUUGCAUCGUGAUGGGGAUAGAUUAUUGCAAUUAUUAAUCUUCAACGAGGAAUGCCUAGUAAGCGCAAGUCAUCAGCUUGCGUUGAUUACGUCCCUGCCCUUUGUACACACCGCCCGUCGCUCCUACCGAUUGAAUGGUCCGGUGAAGCGUUCGGACCGUGGCCUUUGGACGGUUCGCCGUCUGUUGGCUGCGGGAAGUUCGUUAAACCUUAUCAUUUAGAGGAAGGAGAAGUCGUAACA